UAAAUUAUAAUCCAAGUAUGUUUACAAAGGCAGUUGGCUCUACUCCUUGAGCCUUAUGGGCAUUCGCUAUGCCAACUCUGAUGUGGAACCUAGGAUAUUUCAUCAUAGCUUUGGAUUCUACAACUAGCUAGGACUUUACGAAGAUGUUGCACAAGCAUAAGUGAUGUCAAGUUUUUUCGGUUUGAAAACAAACUAUUUGAAGUGGUCUAACAACUUUGUCUAAGAAGGUAAGCUGAUGGCCUAGGCCUCGUCACCUUGCCUAGGUCUUCAAGAGGCAAUUUUUAUUUUUCGGGUCUCGCAUGGUGGCCUAGGCGAUCUAGG
Molecule: long non-coding RNA, 321 nt
Filed under: Vitis vinifera (wine grape)
Lineage: Eukaryota; Viridiplantae; Streptophyta; Magnoliopsida; Vitales; Vitaceae
Description: long non-coding RNA (VVIN_LNC002796)
Source: RNAcentral